RNAcentral lists this ribosomal RNA (843 nucleotides) under Gliocladiopsis pseudotenuis. Its description in RNAcentral is "partial large subunit ribosomal RNA". It matches the Rfam family "Eukaryotic large subunit ribosomal RNA", at positions 66 to 942 of the family's 3401-position model. Lineage: Eukaryota; Fungi; Ascomycota; Sordariomycetes; Hypocreales; Nectriaceae. The record is from RNAcentral.
CAACAGGGAUUGCCCUAGUAACGGCGAGUGAAGCGGCAACAGCUCAAAUUUGAAAUCUGGCCUUCGGGUCCGAGUUGUAAUUUGUAGAGGAUGCUUUUGGUGCGGUGCCUUCCGAGUUCCCUGGAACGGGACGCCAUAGAGGGUGAGAGCCCCGUCUGGUUGGAUACCAAUCCUCUGUAAAGCUCCUUCGACGAGUCGAGUAGUUUGGGAAUGCUGCUCUAAAUGGGAGGUAUAUGUCUUCUAAAGCUAAAUACCGGCCAGAGACCGAUAGCGCACAAGUAGAGUGAUCGAAAGAUGAAAAGCACUUUGAAAAGAGAGUUAAAAAGUACGUGAAAUUGUUGAAAGGGAAGCGCUUGUGACCAGACUUGGGCUUGGUUGAUCAUCCUGGGUUCUCCCUGGUGCACUCUUCCAGUCCAGGCCAGCAUCAGUUUGCUUCGGGGGAUAAAGGCUUCGGGAAUGUGGCUCCUUCGGGAGUGUUAUAGCCCGUUGUGUAAUACCCUGAGGCAGACUGAGGUUCGCGCUCUGCAAGGAUGCUGGCGUAAUGGUCAUCAGCGACCCGUCUUGAAACACGGACCAAGGAGUCGUCUUCGUAUGCGAGUGUUCGGGUGUUAAACCCCUACGCGUAAUGAAAGUGAACGCAGGUGAGAGCUUCGGCGCAUCAUCGACCGAUCCUGAUGUUCUCGGAUGGAUUUGAGUAAGAGCAUACGGGGCCGGACCCGAAAGAAGGUGAACUAUGCCUGUAUAGGGUGAAGCCAGAGGAAACUCUGGUGGAGGCUCGCAGCGGUUCUGACGUGCAAAUCGAUCGUCAAAUAUGGGCAUGGGGGCGAAAGACUAAUCGAACCU